AACCUUGGAGGGUACACGAGCGGCGAACGGGUGAGUAACACGUGGGUGAUCUGCCUUGCACUCUGGGAUAAGCCUGGGAAACUGGGUCUAAUACCGGAUAUGAGCCUGAACUGCAUGGUUCGGGUUGGAAAGAUUUAUCGGUGCGAGAUGGGCCCGCGGCCUAUCAGCUUGUUGGUGAGGUAACGGCUCACCAAGGCGACGACGGGUAGCCGGCCUGAGAGGGCGACCGGCCACACUGGGACUGAGACACGGCCCAGACUCCUACGGGAGGCAGCAGUGGGGAAUAUUGCACAAUGGGCGAAAGCCUGAUGCAGCGACGCCGCGUGAGGGAUGACGGCCUUCGGGUUGUAAACCUCUUUCGACAGGGACGAAGCGCAAGUGACGGUACCUGUAGAAGAAGCACCGGCUAACUACGUGCCAGCAGCCGCGGUAAUACGUAGGGUGCGAGCGUUGUCCGGAAUGACUGGGCGUAAAGAGCUUGUAGGCGGUCUGUCACGUCGGUCGUGAAAACUCACAGCUCAACUGUGGGCCUGCGGUCGAUACGGGCAGACUAGAGUACUUCAGGGGAGACUGGAAUUCCUGGUGUAGCGGUGAAAUGCGCAGAUAUCAGGAGGAACACCGGUGGCGAAGGCGGGUCUCUGGGAAGUAACUGACGCUGAGAAGCGAAAGCGUGGGUAGCGAACAGGAUUAGAUACCCUGGUAGUCCACGCCGUAAACGGUGGGUACUAGGUGUGGGUUUCCUUCCACGGGAUCCGUGCCGUAGCUAACGCAUUAAGUACCCCGCCUGGGGAGUACGGCCGCAAGGCUGCUAGCUAUUAACGUA
RNAcentral lists this ribosomal RNA (823 nucleotides) under Nocardia seriolae. RNAcentral describes it as "bacterial SSU rRNA". It matches the Rfam family "Bacterial small subunit ribosomal RNA", at positions 74 to 909 of the family's 1533-position model. Lineage: Bacteria; Bacillati; Actinomycetota; Actinomycetes; Mycobacteriales; Nocardiaceae. The record is from RNAcentral.